RNAcentral lists this long non-coding RNA (782 nucleotides) under Ananas comosus (pineapple). RNAcentral's name for it is "long non-coding RNA (ACOM_LNC044599)". Lineage: Eukaryota; Viridiplantae; Streptophyta; Magnoliopsida; Poales; Bromeliaceae. The record is from RNAcentral.
UCUAUGCCUAAUGUGUCAUUCAAUUGAGCAUAUGUUAUAUACAUUGUUGCAUGCAUUGUAGGGUAAAUGUGAUGAGAGUAAUGUGAUGUUGUAUAUUGUGAGUACAAUUUGCCUAAUGAGAUGGUUGAGAACUCCUAUGAAUGUUUAACCCUAUGUAUACAUGAGAUAAAAUGUAAGCACCAAGGUGAGGCAAAAGAACAGAGGACACAAUGAGACAUUGAUCGAGUGGCAUUCGAUAAUGUAAAGUAAAGUGACAGUAGAGUUAGUGUGAGGUAAAGAAUCAAUGUGAUGUAAAGAGUAAUGACAAUGACUAAGGUUAAUAUAAAGUGGGGCAUAAAGAACAUUGUAACAUACCAGAUUUUGGUAUAAAAAUAAAAAUAAAUAAAAAUAGUGUGAGAAACUAUUUUUAUUGGAUUUAUAGAAGUAAAACAUAAGUCAGAAGUGACUUGUGCUGAAAUCGGAAUGAAAACAGAAGAUUUAGAAUUUUCUGUUGGAAACGGGACAGAUAAAUUAGCAGAAAAUGCACAGUCUCAGAAAAUUAUGAAAAUUGGAGGAUAAGUCAGAAAUAUUUUUAUGAGGCUAGAUUUAAAGUUUCAUAUUUUUCUGACACCCGUAGAGUGAGAAAUAAAAUCCGAAAGCUAUCUGAUAAAGAUUGCAGUUCGGUACAGUUUUUAGUAACCAAACGGGGUCGAAACUGAACCAGUGAUCGUCAGCUUGUUAAGUUAAGUAAAACCGAAUAUGACUGUCAAGUUUGAGCUCAAACGGACACUCAGGGAGCUCCG